AAUAUUGGUCAAUGGAGGCAACCCUGAUCCAGCCAUCCCGCGUGUGCGAUGAAGGCCUUCGGGUUGUAAAGCACUUUUGUCAGGGAAGAAAUCGUACAGGCUAAUAUCCUGUUCGGAUGACGGUACCUGAAGAAUAAGCACCGGCUAACUACGUGCCAGCAGCCGCGGUAAUACGUAGGGUGCAAGAGUUAAUCGGAAUUACUGGGCGUAAAGGGUGCGCAGGCGGUUUAUCAAGAAAGGUGUGAAAUCCCCGGGCUUAACCUGGGAAUGGCACUUUUAACUGAUAGGCUAGAGUAUGUCAGAGGGGGGUAGAAUUCCACGUGUAGCAGUGAAAUGCGUAGAUAUGUGGAGGAAUACCGAUGGCGAAGGCAGCCCCCUGGGAUAAUACUGACGCUCAGACACGAAAGCGUGGGGAGCAAACAG
Molecule: ribosomal RNA, 423 nt
Filed under: uncultured bacterium
Lineage: Bacteria
Description: partial 16S ribosomal RNA
Rfam family: Bacterial small subunit ribosomal RNA
Source: RNAcentral